GACGAAGGGGGCUAGCGUUGUUUGGAAUUACUGGGCGUAAAGCGCGUGUAGGCGGUUGUCCAAGUUGGAUGUGAAAGCCUUGAGCUCAACUCAAGAAAUGCAUUCAGGACUGGGCGACUAGAGGACCGGAGAGGAUAGUGGAAUUCCCAGUGUAGUGGUGAAAUACGUAGAGAUUGGGAAGAACACCAGUGGCGAAGGCGGCUAUCUGGACGGUUUCUGACGCUAAGACGCGAAAGCGUGGGGAGCAAACAGG
Molecule: ribosomal RNA, 253 nt
Filed under: uncultured bacterium
Lineage: Bacteria
Description: partial 16S ribosomal RNA
Rfam family: Bacterial small subunit ribosomal RNA
Source: RNAcentral